This is a small nuclear RNA of Talpa occidentalis (Iberian mole), 105 nucleotides long. The record is from RefSeq and is a predicted model, not a curated record. Lineage: Eukaryota; Metazoa; Chordata; Mammalia; Eulipotyphla; Talpidae.
GCUUGCUUUGACAACUGAUAGACCAAAGCUGAAAUGAUAUGGAGAAGAUCUGCUUGGCCCCUGCCCAAGGUUGCCACACAAAUGCCAGAAGUGGCCCUAGUUGUU